Long non-coding RNA from Geospiza fortis (medium ground-finch), 2148 nucleotides. The record is from Ensembl. NCBI's taxonomy places the organism in Eukaryota, Metazoa, Chordata, Aves, Passeriformes, Thraupidae.
CCCGGGAGGGGUGUCCGUGCCCGCUGGUGCCUCCCCUCCGUCCGCCCGGGAACAAGGAAGCAGCUCCAACUACCUCCAGCCAUCACUCGGCAGCGUAGUUCCCUGCUGGCACCUUCCCCACGCCCUGCGUCCUCGGGUCCCUCACCUUGCAAGGCCUUGGGGCGCUGCCUUUGGACAUGACUCGGGGCACGGCAGGGCUGCCCCUGCUGCUGCUGAGCCUCGCUGUGCUGGAUCUCUCACUGGAGACCACAGCACCACUGUCCAACACCAGCUCAAGCACUGCAGCCACCUUCCCUUCCUCUCAUCCUGCAACCUCCAUCCCAGAGAUGCCAAUGGAUGCCUUCACAUCCAGUGCUUCUACAGCUCAGCAGAGCAGCCUGGCAGCCUCCAACAUCACCACACCACAGGCAAGGGGCAGCAGAGCUGACAGCACUCCUGUGUCACCUGCGCUGGCACCCAGCACCAGCACACCCCCAGCAGGGCUGGAAACCAUCACCAGCACAACCUCAGCAGGGCUGGAAACCAUCACCAGCACAACCUCAGCAGGGCUGGCACCCACCACCAGCAGCCCCCAAACAGGGCUGGGACCCAGCACCACCCCAGCAGGGCUGGGACCCAGCACCACCAGCACACCAACUCCAACCUCCAUGACACCCAGCUGUGACAAGAGUACCAGUGUCACGUCUGUGGGGACCAGCACAGCCCUGGCUGCCAGCUCAUUUGGAGUUGACAUGAGCAUGCUGCCUCCCUCCACCUCUGCUGUUCUCUCCUCCACUGGGGUGGGCACCACGCUUGGCACCAGCCCCCACCAAGAGCCAGCCAUGACCACACUGCUUGGCAGCACAUCCCCAGGGACCAGCACCACCUCUUCUUCCACCACCCCAGAAGUGACAGACACUUCAGAUGGGCCCUUGACGACCCCAUCAGACACCAUGACCUCCCUUGUUACCACCACAGAGGUUCCUGGGACCACCCCUGGUACUUCCACCCCAACAGAACCAGAGACCCCCAGUGACACUGCAGAGACCACUGCCCUGGGUGUGACAGCAACUGUGUCCCCAGCUCUCCCUACCUCCUCAACACCCAUGGAGAGCUCAACGCUGCUGCCUACCACUGACUCCACCACCACAGCCACCCUCCUUUCCUCCAACCCUGAAACAGAAGCCUCCACCCCAGAGGAGUACAGCACAUCCACAGAGACUGGCAGCACCUCACCUCCCACUGUGCUUCCUCCCACCACAACUACAGAGGAUUCAUCUGAAUCUACAGAAGAGACCUUGGCAACCCUGGCAGACACCACAGCCAGCCCUGUUAUCAGCACAUCAGACCCCAUGAGAACUCCCUCUUCAAGCUACCCAGACAGGACCACUCCUGACAUCUUCCCCUCAACUGUGGAGUCGACUCCAGGCACUGAGCCCUCUUCCCCUGCCACCAGCUCAGCCCAGACCUCAGAGGCUGCUACCCUCAGCACCCCUGCAGCACUGCCAACGCUGCUGCCAGCCUGCCCCUCUGGCUCACCCAACACCACCCCAGGUGCAACUCACCUCUUUCUGUCGCUGAGGCUAAGCACCCCUCUGGACCUGGGGAACACCACGGUGCAGGAGCUGCUGUUGUCCAAGCUCCGUGAGGACCUGCAGACAGCAUUCCCCUGCGCUGGCCUGUCACUGGCGUGGCGAGGGAAGAGGAGGACUUGACUGCUGCCCCUCACCUGGACUGCCAAGCCACCUGCUCCCAGCUCCUCACUCCACGGUGGUGCAGGCCCCUGGGGAACCCCAUACAGCUCCUCUUGAACCUGGGGCUUCCUGUCCUUCACUCUGUACCCCCAGUCCCCUCCUGCCCCUUCCCACAGCCUGUCUGAAGAGCCUGAGCCCUCCCACCACCCUGCUCCAGACCUGGUUCCCCCUCCAGCUCUGCUGGGGGGCUGGGAGAAGGGAACCCCAUGGGACUGGGCUUUUACAUCUGGGACUGAGCUGCCUCAGCCAUCAAAGCCACCCUGGGGACAGGAAUGAGAGGAAGGAGACCUGAAGCCCUCAGUACUGCUGUGCCCGAGGCUCACCUGUGGUAUUGCUGACAGAGGAGAACACCCAUGCCGGGCAGUAAAUAGAAAUUCCAUGUUUUCUGUGUUGAAGUGGUGACUUCUUUAUUUUC